GAUGAACGCUGGCGGCGUGCCUAAUACACGCAAGUCGAGCGAACGGACGAGAAGCUUGCUUCUCUGAUGUUAGCGGCGGACGGGUGAGUAACACGUGGAUAACCUACCUAUAAGACUGGGAUAACUUCGGGAAACCGGAGCUAAUACCGGAUAAUAUUUUGAAACGCAUGGUUCAAAAGUGAAAGACGGUCUUGCUGUCACUUAUAGAUGGAUCCGCGCUGCAUUAGCUAGUUGGUAAGGUAACGGCUUACCAAGGCAACGAUGCAUAGCCGACCUGAGAGGGUGAUCGGCCACACUGGAACUGAGACACGGUCCAGACUCCUACGGGAGGCAGCAGUAGGGAAUCUUCCGCAAUGGGCGAAAGCCUGACGGAGCAACGCCGCGUGAGUGAUGAAGGUCUUCGGAUCGUAAAACUCUGUUAUUAGGGAAGAACAUAUGUGUAAGUAACUGUGCACAUCUUGACGGUACCUAAUCAGAAAGCCACGGCUAACUACGUG
RNAcentral lists this ribosomal RNA (497 nucleotides) under uncultured bacterium. Its description in RNAcentral is "partial 16S ribosomal RNA". It matches the Rfam family "Bacterial small subunit ribosomal RNA", at positions 28 to 507 of the family's 1533-position model. The record is from RNAcentral.